ACGAUUAUAUUUAGCGGCCGCGAUUCGCUCUUGUGCAGCAGCCGCGGUAAUUCAGUAAGAGAAGUAGCGUAUAUUUAAGUUGUUGCAGUUAAAAAGCCUUGUAGGUGAACCUUGGGCCUGGCUGGCCGGUCCGCCUCACCGCGUGCACUGGUCCGGCCGGGCCUUUCCCUCUGUGGAACCCCAUACCCUUCACUGGGCGUGGCGGGGAAACAGGACAUUUACUUUGAAAAAAUUAGAGUGCUCCAGGCAGGCCUAUGCUCGAAUACAUUAGCAUGGAAUAAUAAAGUAGGACGCGCGGUUCUAUUUUGUUGGUUUAUAGGACCGCCGUAAUGAUUAAUAGGGACAGUCGGGGGCAUCAGUAUUCAACUGUCAGAGGUGAAAUUCUUGGAUCAGUUGAAGACUAACUACUGCGAAAGCAUUUGCCAAGGAUGUUUUCAUUAAUCAGGAACGAAAGUUAGGGGAUCGAAGACGAUCAGAUACCGUCGUAGUCUUAACCAUAAACUAUGCCGACUAGGGAUCGGACGGUGUUAUUCAUGACCCGUUCGGCACCUUACGAGAAAUCAAAGUGCUUGGGCUCCAGGGGGAGUAUGGUCGCAAGGCUGAAACUUAAAGAAAUUGACGGAAGGGCACCACCAGGGGUGGAGCCUGCGGCUUAAUUUGACUCAUCACGGGAAACUCACCAGGUCCAGACACAUAAGGAUUGACAGAUUGAGAGCUCUUUCUUGAUUUUGUGGGUGGGGUGCAUGGCCGUUCUUAGUUGGUGGGUGGACUUGUCUGCUUAAUUGCGAUAACCGAACGAAGACCUUAACCCUGCUAAAUAAGCCCGCAUUGCUCCGGCAGGUGCGCUGGGCUUCUUAAGAGGGACUUUUCGAGCUCAUAGCCGAAAGAAGUUUGAAGGCAAAUAAACAGGGCCUGGGAUGGCCCCUAAAAUGUUCUGGGGGCGGAAGGUGCG
This 952-nucleotide ribosomal RNA is filed under the name uncultured fungus. Its description in RNAcentral is "bacterial SSU rRNA". It matches the Rfam family "Eukaryotic small subunit ribosomal RNA", at positions 521 to 1497 of the family's 1831-position model. Lineage: Eukaryota; Fungi. The record is from RNAcentral.